CACCGCGGUUAUACGAGAGACCCAAGCUGACAGUCACCGGCGUAAAGAGUGGUUAAUUCACCCCAAUAAAACUAAAGCCGAACAUUUCCAAAGCUGUAAAACGCACUCGAAGGCAUGAAGACCAACCACGAAAGUAGCUUUACAUUAUUUGAAUCCACGAAAGCUAGGAAA
RNAcentral lists this ribosomal RNA (171 nucleotides) under Jaydia truncata. RNAcentral describes it as "partial 12S ribosomal RNA". Lineage: Eukaryota; Metazoa; Chordata; Actinopteri; Kurtiformes; Apogonidae. The record is from RNAcentral.